Long non-coding RNA from Strongylocentrotus purpuratus (purple sea urchin), 1280 nucleotides. RefSeq lists it as uncharacterized. The transcript is spliced from 3 exons. The record is from RefSeq and is a predicted model, not a curated record. Lineage: Eukaryota; Metazoa; Echinodermata; Echinoidea; Camarodonta; Strongylocentrotidae.
UCGAUUUUGUUCAUUUUUUUUUUAAAUGAAAGCUAUUUAGUUGCUUAAUCUUCACAGAUCCGCUUUUUAAAUUUCAAAUAUGGAAAAGUGUUGAAAAUGGUACUUUAGUAAAAUGUACUUACCCUUUGGUACCUUUGCUGGUUCAUAGGGUUCAAUACCCCUAUUAAACUCAAGGAUUUUGCUAGAUAGCGGUUGGGGCCACUAACUCCUAAGCCCUGAUGGUUUUUUUCUUUAAACUAGCACUUUAAAAAAUGAUUUAUUCAUUUCUCCAAAAAAUGAAGUAAAACUGAGUUUAACAAUUGACUAGAUGAAUUUUUGUUUGAGGUGAUGAAAAGGUCAGACUAAUCGAGGCCCUUAUAAAUUUAAAUAAAAUAUGCACUGCUUAGUGCAUCUUAUCAUGAGCAUAUCCUGAAAAAAUUAGCAAAAUUGGUUAAUUAUUUAAUUAAUUACAAGCAAUUUAAAAAAAAAAGUUUAGGACGGUAUUUCUCGAAAUUCGCUUUUUUGCAAAUUUUCAAUUAGUCUUUUGGGGCUGAAAUUUGAAGAUAUGACUUGGGGGCUGCUUUAAUUUUAACAUUUAAACCCUUUUUAACAUUAAAUAUUCAUUCGUUUCUUAUUUUUUAAUCAUAAAACCAAAAUAUUAGCAAACAAAAAUAUCCCCCGAAAUACGAAAAAUCUAAUAUUCACCAUAGGUUUGUACAGUGUAGGCCAAAAAAUAGGUGCUCUACAAAAGUUCUUUAAAAAAACAUUUUUACAUUGAAGCCACAGAAUAUACCAUACUCAAAUUGAUCUUUGAUAAUCCAGGCCUACUUUCCUGCAAUUGGUUUUUUAUUAAUUGUUAUGCUUUUUCCUUAAAAAGUGAUACAAAAAUUAAUUUUUCCCAUCAAUUCCCGCCAUUGGUACUUUUCUCACGUAGAGGGAGCUUCACACAAUAACAAACGAAUCAAAGUAACAGUAGAAACUAAACAAACAAAAGUAGAUUCAUUCCAGCGGGCAGUCAGCUCUUAUUAUUCAUUUAAAUGAAAAUUCAUGCAAAGGACCUGGAAAAUCUGCAGAAAUAAACCCUAGGACUACUCUGACCAACGGAGGUUGGUGGUUUGGCAGUUGAAGGCUUAAGAAACUUGCUGACCAUCCUGGGUACAACCCCAACAGUCAAUGCCUCUAGCUUCGACAGGCACAUAGCCACUUUUAAAUCGAUAUCUCAAGAGACCAGCGAGGAACACAUGAAGAGGGCGGCGGUAUGCCUACAACAAAGGGCAAUGGACAAGGACCCGACCAUCAGG